AGUGGGGAAUAUUGGACAAUGGGCGCAAGCCUGAUCCAGCUAUGCCGCGUGAAUGAUGAAGGCCUUAGGGUUGUAAAGUUCUUUUAGAUGGGAAGAUUAUGACGGUACCAUCAGAAAAAGCUCCGGCUAACUUCGUGCCAGCAGCCGCGGUAAUACGAAGGGAGCAAGCGUUGCUCGGAUUUAUUGGGCGUAAAGGGUGUGUAGGCGGUUUUGUAAGUUAGAUGUGAAAGCCCCGGGCUUAACCCGGGAAUUGCAUUUAAGACUGCAUGACUUGAAGUUCGAAGAGGUAAGCAGAAUUCCCAGUGUAGAGGUGAAAUUCGUAGAUAUUGGGAAGAAUACCAAUGGCGUAGGCAGCUUACUGGUCGACACUUGACGCUGAGGCACGAAAGCGUGGGUAGCAAA
RNAcentral lists this ribosomal RNA (402 nucleotides) under uncultured Thalassospira sp. RNAcentral describes it as "bacterial SSU rRNA". It matches the Rfam family "Bacterial small subunit ribosomal RNA", at positions 353 to 772 of the family's 1533-position model. The record is from RNAcentral. Lineage: Bacteria; Pseudomonadati; Pseudomonadota; Alphaproteobacteria; Rhodospirillales; Thalassospiraceae.